GGAUCACUCGGCCAUCCUGGGUUUUAUGAAAUUCUUGCAUCUCUGGGUUUAUGCCAAAAAGAAGCCAGGAUUCUGUUUCUGGGACUUUAUAAUGCCGGCAAGACUAUUCUCCUUCACAUGUUGAAAGAUGAGAGAUUAGUUCAACAUCAACCACCUCAGCACCCAACAUCUGAGGAAUUAAGUAUAGGCAAAAUCAAGUUCAAAGCUUUCGAUUUGGGUGGGCACCAAAUCGCUCGCUGUCUGGAAAGAUUACUAUGCUAAGGUUGAUGCGGUGGUAUACUUGGUGGAUGCCUACGACAAGGAAAGAUUUGCAGAGUCGAAGAGGGAAUUAGAUGCCCUACUUUCGGAUGAGUCACUGGCCAAUGUUCCUUUUCUAAUUCUAGGCAA
Long non-coding RNA from Hibiscus syriacus, 387 nucleotides. RefSeq lists it as uncharacterized. The record is from RefSeq and is a predicted model, not a curated record. Lineage: Eukaryota; Viridiplantae; Streptophyta; Magnoliopsida; Malvales; Malvaceae. The transcript is spliced from 3 exons.